RNAcentral lists this transfer RNA (72 nucleotides) under Camelus bactrianus (Bactrian camel). It matches the Rfam family "tRNA". Rfam says of the family: Transfer RNA (tRNA) molecules are approximately 80 nucleotides in length. Their secondary structure includes four short double-helical elements and three loops (D, anti-codon, and T loops). RNAcentral also lists the same sequence under 2 other names. The record is from Rfam by way of RNAcentral. Lineage: Eukaryota; Metazoa; Chordata; Mammalia; Artiodactyla; Camelidae.
GAGGGUGUAGCUUAGUGGUAGAGUGCGUGCUUAGCAUGCACAGGAUCCUGGGCUCAAUCCCCAGCAUCUCCA